Molecule: ribosomal RNA, 500 nt
Filed under: uncultured bacterium
Lineage: Bacteria
Description: bacterial SSU rRNA
Rfam family: Bacterial small subunit ribosomal RNA
Source: RNAcentral
GAUGAACGCUAGCGGGAGGCUUAACACAUGCAAGUCGCGGGGCAGCAUGAUGUAGCAAUACAUUGAUGGCGACCGGCGCACGGGUGAGUAACGCGUAUGCAACCUGCCCAGUACAGGGGGAUAGCCCGGAGAAAUUCGGAUUAAUACCCCAUAAUGAUAAGAGAUGGCAUCAUUUUUUAUUAAAGUUACGGCGGUACUGGAUGGGCAUGCGUGACAUUAGCUAGUUGGUAGGGUAACGGCCUACCAAGGCAUCGAUGUCUAGGGGUCCUGAGAGGGUGAUCCCCCACACUGGUACUGAGACACGGACCAGACUCCUACGGGAGGCAGCAGUGAGGAAUAUUGGUCAAUGGGCGCAAGCCUGAACCAGCCAUCCCGCGUGAAGGAAGAAUGCGCUAUGCGUUGUAAACUUCUUUUCCAGGGGAAUAAAAUUCGUACGAGUACGGACUGAAGGUACCUUGGGAAUAAGCAUCGGCUAACUCCGUGCCAGCAGCCGCGGUAAU